RNAcentral lists this ribosomal RNA (460 nucleotides) under uncultured bacterium. RNAcentral's name for it is "bacterial SSU rRNA". It matches the Rfam family "Bacterial small subunit ribosomal RNA", at positions 339 to 791 of the family's 1533-position model. The record is from RNAcentral.
CUACGGGAGGCAGCAGUGGGGAAUUUUGGACAAUGGGGGCAACCCUGAUCCAGCCAUUCCGCGUGAGUGAAGAAGGCCUUCGGGUUGUAAAGCUCUUUUGUCGGGGACGAAACGGUUACGACUAAUACUCGUGACAACUGACGGUACCCGAAGAAUAAGCACCGGCUAACUACGUGCCAGCAGCCGCGGUAAUACGUAGGGUGCGAGCGUUAAUCGGAAUUACUGGGCGUAAAGCGUGCGCAGGCGGUUUUGUAAGCCAGAUGUGAAAUCCCCGGGCUUAACCUGGGAAUGGCAUUUGGGACUGCAAGGCUAGAGUAUGGCAGAGGAGACUAGAAUUUCUGGUGUAGCAGUGAAAUGCGUAGAUAUCAGAAGGAAUACCGAUGGCGAAGGCAGGUCUCUGGGUCAAUACUGACGCUCAUGCACGAAAGCGUGGGGAGCAAACAGGAUUAGAUACCCUGGU